GUCUGUGGUGAUACUACCCUGAAAGUGCCUGAUUUUGAAAGCUAAGCAAGAUUAGACAUGAUUAGUACUUGGAUGGGAGUCUAUUCUUCUAUGAAAACAUUAUUCAACUGAUA
This 113-nucleotide ribosomal RNA is filed under the name Nannospalax galili (Upper Galilee mountains blind mole rat). The record is from RNAcentral. Lineage: Eukaryota; Metazoa; Chordata; Mammalia; Rodentia; Spalacidae.